GAGCCACUGCACCUAGCCACAUAUAUUGAAAUUGGAAUGUUACAGAGAAGAUUAGCAUGGCCACCAUGCAAGGAUGACAGGUAAAUUUGUGACCUUCCUUUUUUUUUU
Callithrix jacchus (white-tufted-ear marmoset) is the source of this 108-nucleotide small nuclear RNA. Lineage: Eukaryota; Metazoa; Chordata; Mammalia; Primates; Cebidae. The record is from Ensembl.